UACCGACGGCCCGAGUGGUAGCCACUCUUAUUGGGCCUAAAGCGUCCGUAGCCGGCUUGGCAAGUCCCCUGGGAAAUCUGGCGGCUUAACCGUCAGGCGUCCAGAGGAUACUGCCAGGCUUGGGACCGGGAGAGGUGAGAGGUACCUCAGGGGUAGGGGUGAAAUCUUGUGAUCCCUGAGGGACCACCAGUGGCGAAGGCGUCUCACUAGAACGGGUCCGACGGUCAGGGACGAAAGCUGGGGGCACGAACCGG
This 254-nucleotide ribosomal RNA is filed under the name uncultured microorganism. RNAcentral describes it as "partial 16S ribosomal RNA". It matches the Rfam family "Archaeal small subunit ribosomal RNA", at positions 474 to 727 of the family's 1478-position model. The record is from RNAcentral.